This 267-nucleotide unclassified non-coding RNA is filed under the name Glomus sp. RNAcentral describes it as "partial contains 5.8S ribosomal RNA and internal transcribed spacer 2". The stretch from base 1 to 65 matches the Rfam family "5.8S ribosomal RNA", at positions 84 to 154 of the family's 154-position model. Lineage: Eukaryota; Fungi; Glomeromycota; Glomeromycetes; Glomerales; Glomeraceae. The record is from RNAcentral.
GUGAAUCAUCGAAUUUUUGAACGCAAAUUGCACUCUUUUCGGAGAGUAUGACUGUUUGAGGGUCAGACUAUAAAAAUCGACAUCGUUGCUGUUUCGCGGUGGUGUUCGUCGGUAAUUGGGUCAUCUUAAAUCUUUUUGAUUUAAGCGUCUUAAAGUUUUCUUUUGGUUCCAUGUACGUUUCUAAGAUCUAUUUCUUUAUUUGUUUAUGUUAUCGAUUUUUACUAGACGUGAUCAUCAUAUAGGAUAGAGUUAAUAUUAUUUCAUUAA